GACUCAGACCCAUCUCGAAGCCCAUAUUAUAAUAUAGCGUUGAAGGAAAUACAUGUUGCUGGGAAGCCAUUGAAGUUGAAUCCGAGCACUUUUGAUGGGAAGUACGGUGCUAUCUUGGAUAGUGGAACUACAUAUGCUUAUUUUCCAGAAAAAGCCUACUAUGCGUUCAAGGAUGCUAUCAUGAAGAAAAUUAGUUUCCUGAAACAAAUCAGUGGUCCUGACCCGAAUUUUAAAGAUAUUUGUUUCUCUGG
Molecule: unclassified non-coding RNA, 251 nt
Filed under: Hevea brasiliensis (rubber tree)
Lineage: Eukaryota; Viridiplantae; Streptophyta; Magnoliopsida; Malpighiales; Euphorbiaceae
Source: RNAcentral